Non-coding RNA from Vicia faba (fava bean), 252 nucleotides. Lineage: Eukaryota; Viridiplantae; Streptophyta; Magnoliopsida; Fabales; Fabaceae. The record is from the annotation of a GenBank genome assembly.
AUGGGGGUUCGUGGCUGCAAAGGGUCAGUCUAUCGACAAUGGUCUCCAUGCAUCCGGCGGUAUCGUGGUUGUGUAGACCACCGUGUUGGCGCGAAGGACCUAGUUGUCAGAUUUUUGCUUGAAUCGCGUGUGUGCGUGGUGACUCGUCAAAGAUCUUUGCAACGAUGGUGUGUGGAUGUUGUGAGAUGGGUAGCUUGGCGGAUGAUGUGUUGGCCGGUUUCCGGUAUGUACGUGAGACGGUGGCAGCGGUGA